CCUUUUAGCCCAGCCAUCUUUAUUCUGGCCAUUGUGCUUGCCUGCUGUGGCAACACCCGCCAAAAAGUUCCAUUUAAUUUCAUUUUACCGGCAUUAUUUGCUACAAAUAGUUCAUGCCCUAUUUGGAACACUGGUCUUUAGUAUAUAUCUUGUGGUGGAUAUGUGGCUCAUGCUUAGAGGAAAACAUCACUAUCCUGAAUCCUGAAGAUUGUGUAUUUGCAAAAGUCAAGACUUCAUUCAUUCCUUUGCCCUUCUGCAAAGACUGACAGAAAACCCAUCUCAUGCAGUAAUUACAGGGGAUCCAUCGCCUCCUUUCAGUGCAUAUCCUGUGUUCAGCUAACAGGACUAAAUGGUAAAUUGAUAUUCAGUUUUGCAUCUUCACUAGCUUCUCUACAUCUUUCAAAUUUCCAUAUCUGGCUGACCUGCAACAGUAACAGGGACAAUAAUUGUUAUGUUGUCUAAUAACUCAGAGUAGAUUAGAUUGUCUGCACAGUUUUCAGUAAAGUAACUAGCUACCCCUGUAUCUGUGUUUGACUUCCAUUCUUACCAACCCCUGUGAGCAUUAUUUUGGGAUGCCUGAUGUGUGCUGGGAAAGGGAGAGAGAAGGAGGAG
This 612-nucleotide long non-coding RNA is filed under the name Apteryx rowi (Okarito brown kiwi). RNAcentral describes it as "lncRNA (ENSARWG00000006251.1)". Lineage: Eukaryota; Metazoa; Chordata; Aves; Apterygiformes; Apterygidae. The record is from RNAcentral.